RNAcentral lists this ribosomal RNA (499 nucleotides) under uncultured Glomeromycotina. Its description in RNAcentral is "partial small subunit ribosomal RNA". It matches the Rfam family "Eukaryotic small subunit ribosomal RNA", at positions 591 to 1092 of the family's 1831-position model. Lineage: Eukaryota; Fungi; Glomeromycota. The record is from RNAcentral.
CCAAUAGCGUAUAUUAAAGUUGUUGCAGUUAAAAAGCUCGUAGUUGAAUUUCGGAAUCAAUUUGUUGGUCGUGCCUCGGUACGUACUGGUAUUAUUGGUUUCUACCUUCUGAAGAACCUUGAUGUCAUUAAUUUGGUGUCUUGGGGAAUCAGGACUGUUACUUUGAAAAAAUUAGAGUGUUUAAAGCAAGCAUACGCUUGAAUACAUUAGCAUGGAAUAAUGAAAUAGGACGUUUGAUUCUAUUUUGUUGGUUUCUAGGAUCGACGUAAUGAUUAAUAGGGAUAGUUGGGGGCAUUAGUAUUCAAUUGUCAGAGGUGAAAUACUUGGAUUUAUUGAAGACUAACUACUGCGAAAGCAUUUGCCAAGGAUGUUUUCAUUAAUCAAGAACGAAAGUUAGGGGAUCGAAGACGAUCAGAUACCGUCGUAGUCUUAACCAUAAACUAUGCCGACUAGGGAUCGGAUGAUGUUAAUUUUUUAAUGACUCAUUCGGCGCCUUACG